Molecule: transfer RNA, 85 nt
Filed under: Candidatus Rokuibacteriota bacterium
Lineage: Bacteria; Candidatus Rokuibacteriota
Also listed under: 2 other names
Description: tRNA-Leu
Rfam family: tRNA
About the family: Transfer RNA (tRNA) molecules are approximately 80 nucleotides in length.
Source: RNAcentral
GCCGAAGUGGCGGAAUUGGCAGACGCGCACGUUUGAGGGGCGUGUGGGGUAACCCGUGGGGGUUCGAGUCCCCCCUUCGGCACCA